Molecule: ribosomal RNA, 478 nt
Filed under: uncultured bacterium
Lineage: Bacteria
Description: partial 16S ribosomal RNA
Rfam family: Bacterial small subunit ribosomal RNA
Source: RNAcentral
GACGAACGCUGGCGGCGUGCUUAACACAUGCAAGUCGAACGGUAAGGCCCUUCGGGGUACACGAGUGGCGAACGGGUGAGUAACACGUGGGUGAUCUACCCUGCACUUCGGGAUAAGCCUGGGAAACUGGGUCUAAUACCGGAUAGGACCACUGCCUGCAUGGGUGGUGGUGGAAAGCUUUUGCGGUGUGGGAUGGGCCCGCGGCCUAUCAGCUUGUUGGUGGGGUGAUGGCCUACCAAGGCGACGACGGGUAGCCGGCCUGAGAGGGUGACCGGCCACACUGGGACUGAGAUACGGCCCAGACUCCUACGGGAGGCAGCAGUGGGGAAUAUUGCACAAUGGGCGCAAGCCUGAUGCAGCGACGCCGCGUGAGGGAUGACGGCCUUCGGGCUGUAAACCUCUUUCAGCACCGACGAAGCGCAAGUGACGGUAGGUGCAGAAGAAGGACCGGCCAACUACGUGCCAGCCGCCGCCGUAA